This 474-nucleotide ribosomal RNA is filed under the name uncultured bacterium. RNAcentral describes it as "bacterial SSU rRNA". It matches the Rfam family "Bacterial small subunit ribosomal RNA", at positions 33 to 507 of the family's 1533-position model. The record is from RNAcentral.
ACGCUGGCGGCGUGCCUAACACAUGCAAGUCGAACGAAGCAUUUGAAUGGAUCCCUUCGGGGUGAAGCUCUUAUGACUUAGUGGCGGACGGGUGAGUAACGCGUGAAUAACCUGCCUGUAUGUGGGGGAUAACAACCGGAAACAGUUGCUAAUACCGCAUAAUGUAUGGAAAUCGCAUGUUUUCCAUACCAAAGAUUUAUUGCAUACAGAUGGACUCGCGUCUGAUUAGAUAGUUGGUGAGGUAACGGCUCACCAAGUCGACGAUCAGUAGCCGGACUGAGAGGUUGAACGGCCACAUUGGGACUGAGAUACGGCCCAGACUCCUACGGGAGGCAGCAGUGGGGAAUAUUGCGCAAUGGGGGCAACCCUGACGCAGCAACGCCGCGUGAAGGAUGAAGGUCUUCGGAUUGUAAACUUUUGUCUUAAGGGAAGAUAAUGACAGUACCUUAGGAGGAAGCCACGGCUAACUACGUG